GUUAAGGUUACAUCAUUCUCGGCUCUCGACCAAUGAAUAAUAUUUUUACACGAUAACCGGUUGGCUUCGGUUUGUGUUUGUUUAAGUAGUUUAUCUCAAUGUAAUGCUAUCGAUCUUAACGCAAAACGUUUGUUAUGCUUUCGUAAUACAAUGAGUGAUAUUUUAAUUUACCUCUGUGUUAAUUCAUUAUCGUACAAUGGUGAUAAAGUAGAAAUGUGUAUGCCUGUUUGAAAUAGAAAAUAACGAGGAUAAAACUAGAAGCUCAAAUGUAGGCAGCAGAACUCCAUGGUGUCCAGGCUUGGCAAGGAUGGAGCCGUAGGGGUCGGCGCCGACGAUGAUACACUCGGGGCACUCCUUCUUGAUUUUGGAGGAGGUGCCGGAGAUGGUGCCGCUGGUGCCGGCGCCCAUCACCACCAUGUCCACCUUGCCGUCCGUCGCCCACAGGAUCUCUUCCGCCGUCCCGUCGUAGUGCGCCAACGGGUUGUGAGGGUUGUUGUACUGGGUUGGGGAACAAUCACAUUUAUAUUUAGAGCAACAAUCUAGUCAAAUGUGAUAACUACUUUUUAUGAAAUAAUACUUUGAAAAUACAAAAGAAUUACGUCGCCAAUAAAGCCAGUUGCCAGUUGUCAAACGUCGAACUGUUUGUUUUGUUGGGUGAUUAAUUCGUAAAUAAGUCGAAUAGAAAAAUGGGAUUGGAAUUUGAACAUUUUAGCUUAUUUAUUUAUUAUGGUGCAGCAGCAGUACAUACACAAACACACAAAAUAAAAUAUACAUAGGAAAAGUUAUCACAUUAUAUGUUGUAAUUUUUUUGUAAUUAUAAAAUUAGAAAAUCCGAUUCAAGGGGGUGGCGUACCAGAAAUAUGCAAGUGUCUAAAUAUAGUUGAUCCGUAGAUAAUGGUAGCAUAUUGACGACAUCUUUACGACGGCAAGACAAAUUCCAAAAGAAAUGAAUGUUAACGAUGAGCUACAUAGGUAGGCGUAGGUACAUAUCGCAUUCAGAAUCGCAAAAAGAGAAGCUUCUUGUAGUCAGUAAAAGCUAAUGAGCAUAAUCGUAAUCGUAUAAGAAUCAUCUGUGUUUAAUAGAACAUGUGAUCCUACACGUGUCGAUCGCUGCCGUUGCUUAUCAGUUAAUAAGCAUACAUUCUUGUAGCAAGGCGGAGUACAUUGCCAUCUAGCAUGCUUUGGAGCAGAGAAAAUAUUUAGAUUAGGCUACAACAGCUGAUUGUGCGAUUACGCUGGAAUACGAUUAAAAUGUAUGGGAUUGACAUGGACGAAUCUUGUGACGUUUCAUAAGCUAAUAUAUCCUUCCUGAGUCUCCUUCCAAGCCUACACAAGAUGUUAGUGACAUCGUAACGAAUACUUAGGGGGAUUAUUCAGACCAUGAUUGUGAAUUGAUAUCAAGUAGAAUUUCCUGUCGGAAAAUUAAUGUAAAUUUUAGUGCUUUUUUAUUUUCAGUUCCUUACUUUGCGAUAGAAAAAUCCAUUUGAUAUAAACUCAGAAUCGACCCUCAAAGUUUCCGUUACGAUGUCACUCCUGUACAGAGAAGUAUGGACAAAAGGGAGAGAGGCUUUUGCCCUGCUGCAGUAGUGUAGGCUAAUAAUAGUACCAGUCUUAUAAGUACAUAAUAUUUUUUCUACGUAUCCUAUGCCGAUAAAUACAUAGAAAAGCUCUUUGUCUUGGCCCUAGUUAAAAUUUAAUGGGACUUGGUAAUUGUGUAUAGGUUACUGCUGAACUUGUUAAUUUAACGACAUUCCCUACUAGGGGUCGUAAACUAUUUUACGAUUAGAAGCAAGCAUUUAAAUCUUCAUUGUUCGUCCCCACUCGAGAUUGAUGGUGGAAAAUACAUUAAUGUUCAUUGAUAUACGACAUAUAGAAGAAGGUUUCUAGAAAAGAGUAAUGAUAGCUUUGAUUGUUCGCCUAUAGGUACGGUUUGCAUCGUAGUACGUUAUUAACUCAGUAGCAACACAAAUGGGUAUAUAUGCAGCAAGAAAGUCAUUAAUGUUUGAAAGGAUUCUGUUGCUAGUUUCUCAUGUUAUGCAAUGAAACAUUAAUUCUUAAAUAACGUAAUGUUGUAGCUGUAGAAUUAUUUAUUUUUGUUACUAUAGGGUUCCAAAUGCAGCCGGCAUUAUUAGAGUGAAAAACUAAAUCUAUCGUGCUAUUUAAUUAAACUGCUGGGAAUGUUUGGGAAUAAAUAACAUAGGUAAGUAAACAGUUUAUAGGUGUCCAACGUAUAUGCACGUGUAGGUACGUGCGUAUGCGUUGGCCAGCUGUGUACAGGUCUCUCCUCAAUCAAGUGGAGGCGGAAUCGGAGUGAUCAGGGAAUUAACGAGUAAUAAAUGUCCUACCUGAUCCAAUAUGACGCUUCCUUUGAUCUCCUGACUCAGCCUCUUGGCGACCUGUAUGUUGCUUUCAGGGUCGUCAGAGUGCACGUCUGUGGGCGUCUUCACUACCUCCGCGCCAAGAGCCAGAAUCGUGUUAACCUUCUCAUCAGACAUUUUGUCUGGGAUCACUAUUAUGCACCUGUAGCCUGGUUGGGUCAUAGAAAAUCAAGGUCAGAUCAGAAGUGAAUACAACAGAAAGAACACUCAGUAAAUACAUGAUCAUUUUACCAACAAAACAGAGGUUGCUAAAGUAGGUUGAGCUUGUAUCUUGGAAAAUAUAGGAGAUUAGCCAUGUCAAUUGAAAUAAACUAAAUCAAUUGUUUUUAGUAUUAAUGAAAAUUCCGCCUAUUGAAAUCUCAAAAUGACUGUUUCUAUGGCAUAAAAUUUACAUUAAAAAUAUUGGCUUACCUUUGACGGCAGCAGUCAUAGCGAGUCCUAUGCCAGUAUUCCCUGAAGUUGGUUCAAUAAGUGUGGUCACACCAGGUUUUAUCCGUCCGGCCUUUUCAGCUUCCAACACCAUUCGGUACGCAAUACGGUCCUUUAUAGAUCCACCAGGAUUCUCAUACUCCAGUUUUGCAUCUGAAAGUAUCUUAUUAUUUAGAUUUUAUUUUCUUUCCUAAUAUAGGGACUUAGUCGGUAGGUAUUAUAGCUUGAUAUUACAGCUUGUUUGAGUUUUUAUUUUAAAUUACUAUAUGAAUAUCAAAAAAUUUUUUAAUUAUGUGUCAGGUACCUAAUGAACUUAUUAUGUAUAAAAUUAAAUUAAAACCUAAGUUAUUUUAUUAUUUAAAAAAAUAGUUAUUUAAACUUACAAAUAUCACAUUUUAUUCCCUCGGCCUGGGGAAUCUUAUUCAGCUUAAUUAAAGGAGUAAUACCAAUCAAAUCCAGAAUACUGUCCAGGGUUUUUUUUCUCACGUCGAACCUAAAGAUAUAAUAAUACAUAUUAAUUUUCACCCUUUAUCAAUCGAGAAUAAAUUACAUGCUGUAACAA
Molecule: long non-coding RNA, 3369 nt
Organism: Pectinophora gossypiella (pink bollworm)
Lineage: Eukaryota; Metazoa; Arthropoda; Insecta; Lepidoptera; Gelechiidae
Exons: 2
Source: RefSeq, a predicted model, not a curated record